CAGGAUCGGACAAUAUGGACAAGGAAAGACGAUCAGAGCCAAGAUCCAGAAGACCUGUGACAGGAAGUGAAGACACACAGAAAGUUUAUUCAUCACGGGGCGAGUUUGAGACGUGAAGAGGAGCGUGGAGGCAUUUUGGAAAAUAAAGAAGAAGGCUGCAGCUGAUGAGAGACUUCCUGUUAGCUCUCCUCAAUAUUAAAUGAACAAAAACAAUCAAUUGUACUUAAAGCUUUUCUUAAGAAGAAAGAUGUGUACACCUGCUGCUACCUACCACCACCUCCCACCCAUCCCGGCACCAAAGAGGAGACUCCAUCGACCCCAGAUACCCCAACUCACUCUUCUUCAGGUUAGCUUGGAGCCCCGCCUUUACCUGCCCCAACAUCUCACUUUGAACGAUGUAGUCAUCCGGAUAUCUGCAUACUGAGAGUGGGACGCAGGACCCGGUCAAUGAGCUGCUGGAAGGGGGUCCACUGGACUGGAGGGGCUCUUGGAUCUGGUGAUGCCUUGCUCUUCCUGAAAGGGGAGGACACCUAUCUGCCAUAGUUUCUCCACCUGACGACUGAGUUCAGCAUCGGGGGUUCCAGUUGGGGUGAAGAGACUCUGGGGGGCAUCCGAUGGCUCCUGAAUAGGGGGGGCCCUUGGAGUGUCCAACCUAAUGAUAAGAAUAAGAAUAAUAAGAAUGCAUUUUAUUUGUAAAGCACCUUUCAUUGCUAAAAGUAAUCUCAAAGUGCUACAAGGGGCAUAAUAUACUUUUUAAAGAAACACAAGUUUAAUAAUAGUAUUUAAAAGCACCCCAUGGUGCGGAGUUUGGUCCUGGGGGGGAAAGCAGAUGGUUGGUUGUAGAAUGGAGGUUGCGUGUGGAGGUUUGUGAGGAGAGUAGUUCCUUGAGGUAUGAAGGAGCGUUCCCGUGGAUGCUCUGAUGGGUGAGGAGUGAGAUCUUGUAAUUGAACCUAGCUGGAGGGCUAUUGGUGCCCCCUGUGGACCCAAAGAGACUCUUUUGGUUGGGGUAAUGAGGUGAGCGUUAUCUGCACCUAUUAGUAGGAGAGGCUGCACUUUGGAAAAGAGGGAAGGGGAAGGCCUUGUAGGCGGAGAUAGUGUUUCUUGAGAUCAUCCACAGGAUAACUCUAGUCCACAAGUGAAAGUCUGUCAGAGGUGAAUGUGUCUUUGAGGAGGAAUGUUUUCUUGGGAUUGAAAGAGGGUGAUAUCUCAAAGGUCACUGAGGCUCCAUUUCAGAAUAAUAUAUAUGAUAUGUUUUAUAAUGAUUGAUCAUUAAAGUGUUCUCAAAGCUGGUAAAGGU
This is a long non-coding RNA of Trematomus bernacchii (emerald rockcod), 1297 nucleotides long. RefSeq lists it as uncharacterized. The transcript is spliced from 3 exons. The record is from RefSeq and is a predicted model, not a curated record. Lineage: Eukaryota; Metazoa; Chordata; Actinopteri; Perciformes; Nototheniidae.